Molecule: ribosomal RNA, 370 nt
Filed under: uncultured bacterium
Lineage: Bacteria
Description: bacterial SSU rRNA
Rfam family: Bacterial small subunit ribosomal RNA
Source: RNAcentral
AACGAACGCUGGCGGCAGGCCUAACACAUGCAAGUCGAACGCGUGUAGCGAUACACGAGUGGCAGACGGGUGAGUAACGCGUGGGAACAUGCCCUUUGGUUUGGAAUAACUCAGGGAAACUUGAGCUAAUACCGGAUACGCCCUGGAGCAAUCUGGGGGAAAGAUUGAUCGCCGAAGGAUUGGCCCGCGUCCGAUUAGCUAGUUGGUGAGGUAACGGCUCACCAAGGCGACGAUCGGAGCUGGUCUGAGAGGAUGAUCAGCCACAUUGGGACUGAGACACGGCCCAAACUCCUACGGGAGGCAGCAGUGGGGAAUAUUGGACAAUGGGCGCAAGCCUGAUCCAGCCAUGCCGCGUGAGUGAUGACGGCCC